CCGGCGACCGGCGCACGGGUGAGUAACACGUAUGCAACCUGGCCGUCACAGGUGGAUAACCGGAAGAAAUUCCGACUAAUACAGCAUAACACUCCUGAGGGACAUCCCUUGGGAGUCAAAGGAGGCAACUCCGGUGACGGAUGGGCAUGCGGCGCAUUAGGUAGUUGGUAGGGUAACGGCCUACCAAGCCGACGAUGCGUAGGGGUUCUGAGAGGAAGGUCCCCCACAUUGGAACUGAGACACGGUCCAAACUCCUACGGAAGGCAGCAG
This 270-nucleotide ribosomal RNA is filed under the name uncultured bacterium. RNAcentral describes it as "partial 16S ribosomal RNA". It matches the Rfam family "Bacterial small subunit ribosomal RNA", at positions 88 to 354 of the family's 1533-position model. The record is from RNAcentral.